AUUGAACGCUGGCGGCAGGCCUAACACAUGCAAGUCGAGCGGAUGAAGGGAGCUUGCUCCUGGAUUCAGCGGCGGACGGGUGAGUAAUGCCUAGGAAUCUGCCUGGUAGUGGGGGAUAACGUCCGGAAACGGGCGCUAAUACCGCAUACGUCCUGAGGGAGAAAGUGGGGGAUCUUCGGACCUCACGCUAUCAGAUGAGCCUCGGUCGGAUUAGCUAGUUGGUGGGGUAAAGGCCUACCAAGGCGACGUUCCGUAACUGGUCUGAGAGGAUGAUCAGUCACACUGGAACUGAGACACGGUCCAGACUCCUACGGGAGGCAGCAGUGGGGAAUAUUGGACAAUGGGCGAAAGCCUGAUCCAGCCAUGCCGCGUGUGUGAAGAAGGUCUUCGGAUUGUAAAGCACUUUAAGUUGGGAGGAAGGGCAGUAAGUUAAUACCUUGCUGUUUUGACGUUACCAACAGAAUAAGCACCGGCUAACUUCGUG
RNAcentral lists this ribosomal RNA (484 nucleotides) under uncultured bacterium. RNAcentral's name for it is "partial 16S ribosomal RNA". It matches the Rfam family "Bacterial small subunit ribosomal RNA", at positions 30 to 507 of the family's 1533-position model. The record is from RNAcentral.